UGACCUGACCUGACCUGACCUGACCUGACCUGACCUGACCUGACCUGACCUGACCUGACCUGACCUGACCUGACCUGACCUGACCUGACCUGACCUGACCUGACCUGACCUGACCUGACCUGACCUGACCUGACCUGACCUGACUAAAGCCUGAAGAAUACACAAUGGCAAAAUACAGAGAAGUUCAAUUUUCGGUCUGUGACACCGUGCGCGAGUGUACGUGUUAUGAUUUUGCACGCGAGUACAGAAGGGUUAAAAAAAUCUUCUUUUACUUAAUACAAACUUUUAACAUAUUUUUCGUGUUGCACAACCAAAACACGAACAGUUUUCAAGGUGGAAUUAAACAUCACAACUGAUUUCAUUGGACGUUAUGGGUACAAAAAUAAUUAACCUGUUUACGGUAAAUAAAUAUUAUAAAUCAGCCAUUCCAUGCAUAACCGAUAUAGUAGUUCUCAGAUAAAAAGUGCUAAUUUUGUUCUUCAUCACAAAACAUUAGACCCGUAUUUUUAUUUUUUUCGUUAGGGUGAACUUUUCCAUUUUAUGGUGUUUCAAAAAAUCAAUUAUUUCAACUUUUUUUUUCAAAAAUGCCUUUUUUUUAAUUCAUCACUUUUGAACCACGUUUUAGAUAGUCAACAUACCAAAUUAAAACCAAUGAGCUAGCCUCAUGAAGCAGCAAAAAAGUGGAUUUUGUUUCGUAAUUAUUGAUUGUAGUCGUCUUUUGUUGUUUUUAUGGCUUUGAAAAUAUAGUAUCUCUGAUAUCGAUUAUGUUAUGUAAAAAUCUUCAGCUUUCAAGGAAAAAUAUUUUUUAAAAUAUAGAAAAACAACUACAACCAAUAAUUAGGAAAACAAAAUCCAUGGUUAGAGGCGAAUGAACUGAAAGCCAAAAAGAAGAAGAAGAAGAAAAUCCAUGGUUCACGCAUGUUCAGUAUUUUUUAACAAAAGCUCAUUGGCUUUAAUUUGAUAUGUCGAUCAUCUAAAUCGGUUCAGUGAUUCAAAAGUUAUUUUUGAAAAAAAGUCAUUUUUGGGAAAAAGUUGAAAAAAAAAUAUUUUUCGCAUAGCCCUAUAACGAAAAAAUAACAAAGUACGUAUCUAAUAUGCAAUAAUAUUAAUAUUGCAAUAAAGAACAAAACUACCACUUUUGACGUAGGACUACGUCUUUCAUUUCUAUACCGGGGUGUAAAAUCAAAGUUUCGAAAACGAAAGCGUUACGCCGGAGACCGAGAUUUUGAGCGUCAAUAGCUCUUAAACAACUGACCGAAAUGGUAUGAUAAACACUUCAUUCGAAAGAUAAAAUGUGUACGCGGUAUAUACUUGUUACUUUUUCAUCCAAAAACUUGUUUCAAUUGCCUUAAAAUUGCUUUCAAAACAGGCUAUUGAAAUCACCAAUCGGUAUAUAAGCGAGCACCGCUCGGAAAUCCACUCAGUCCUGAUCCUUACCUGACCUGACCUGACCUGACCUGACCUGACCUGACCUGACCUGACCUGACCUGACCUGACCUGACCUGACCUGACCUGACCUGACCUGACCUGACCUGACCUGACCUGACCUGACCUGACCUGACCUGACCUGACCUGACCUGACCUGACCUGACCUGACCUGACCUGACCUGACCUGACCUGACCUGACCUGACCUGACCUGACCUGACCUGACCUGAUCUGACCUGACCUGACCUGACCUGACCUGACCUGACCUGACCUGACCUGACCUGACCUGACCUGACCUGACCUGACCUGACCUGACCUGACCUGACCUGACCUGACCUGACCUUAUGUUUUCUAACCAUAUAACACUGCGACCAAAUACAUUUGCUUUUGUGAUUUUUAAAUCAAGUGUCUUUCGGGAUGUUUACCCAACAAUUUCUCAAAAGAGAAAUGGGUGUUCUGAGAAAGGAUGAGCGAACGCAAAAAUAAUGUAGACUAAUUUGAUGCAGCAGAUAUUUUGUCUAUUGGAAAUGUAAUACAAAUCAUAUCACAAUACAAGCAAUGUAUUAUGCAUUAUACGUAACGCUCUCGUUUUCGAAGUCCCCCAAAUAUUCAUUUAUUCAUUCAUUCAGAAUUGAUUCAAAUGCAACUACAAACAAAUGAUCACUGAAUCAACGAUAGUCCUACGUCACCCUUGCGGUUAUACCACAGAUAUAACCUACUUCCUGUUUUUUUGUAUGGAAUGGCUGUAUAUAUAGAUAAUAUAUAUACCUGCUUAAAUGUAUCUUUAAUUUUUUUAUAGAAAUACUUCGCAGAUCUGUUUGCAUUGGCUGCUGAGGAUGAAACGAUAGGUACAAUAGGACGAAGAAGUACUAGUAGUCGAGGCAGGAAGGUUGUGGCAAAUAAAAAAGACCCAUCUCCGUUUAACAAUAAUGCAAAGAAGACUCAAGACACUUACGCUAGCGAUGACUCUACAGAUGAUGACUGGUCGAAACACAAAACUGGGAAACGACGUAAGAAGGCCUUUAGUGACUCAGACUGAUUGCAUUCUACUUUAUAUUUUCAAUGAUAAUCUGUGUAACAAUAUAAAAACAAAAAUACUGGUUAACCAGAGUUAACGGUCUCUUUCGUGAGCGAUAUUUUUAGAGUCUCCCUCAGUGUGUAACAAUUAUUUUGUUUUUUUUUUUAAAUUUUUAUCACGAAAAAAUCGCAUUCAUUUAUAUUUUAUGUUAUUCAUUCGGAAUAAACGAGCUUGAGCUUGAGCUUGGGUAGACUGUA
This is a long non-coding RNA of Toxorhynchites rutilus septentrionalis, 2701 nucleotides long. RefSeq lists it as uncharacterized. The transcript has 2 exons. The record is from RefSeq and is a predicted model, not a curated record. NCBI's taxonomy places the organism in Eukaryota, Metazoa, Arthropoda, Insecta, Diptera, Culicidae.